AUCCACCUGCCUGAGAUACAUUUCCAAGAGGUUACACAGUGUCUAAUGGACUCUUGUGAUGUUGGAGGAAUAACUUCUUCGGAUGAUAUCAAGUCCGCACUAUACAAGGAACAAGACGGCUUCCAACAAUGAUUAUUUUAAAGAUGGAGAGAAUUUUGCUGCCUCUGAUGAUAGUCCUCUUGUCCCACAGAGCACUUGGACUCUUUUUUCAAAGAAGCAAAUGUCAAGGGAAGACCUACUAUCCAAGGUUUCAGUUGUGCUGCUGGGGAGUGACUGGUCCGAAACUACCGUUUGUGCAACCCAGAUGCUGCGGUACGAAAGUGUACGGGGCCAAAGUUAGUGGGUGUUGUGGACUUCGGGUCUAUACCCGCCUUCUUCAGAAGUGCUGCAAUUCGGAAAUGAGU
This is a long non-coding RNA of Liolophura sinensis, 404 nucleotides long. RefSeq lists it as uncharacterized. NCBI's taxonomy places the organism in Eukaryota, Metazoa, Mollusca, Polyplacophora, Chitonida, Chitonidae. The transcript is spliced from 3 exons. The record is from RefSeq and is a predicted model, not a curated record.